CCCUACGGGAGGCUGCAGUGGGGAAUAUUGGACAAUGGGCGCAAGCCUGAUCCAGCAAUGCCGCGUGUGUGAAGAAGGCCUUCGGGUUGUAAAGCACUUUUAUCGGGAGCGAAAAGCGCGAGGUUAAUAACCGCGCGUCAUGACGGUACCUGAUGAAUAAGCACCGGCUAACUUCGUGCCAGCAGCCGCGGUAAUACGAAGGGUGCAAGCGUUAAUCGGAAUUACUGGGCGUAAAGCGUGCGUAGGUGGUCUUUUAAUUCCGUUGUGAAAGCCCUGGGCUCAACCUGGGAAUGGCAGUGGAUACUGGAAGGCUGGAGUGCGGUAGAGGAGGGUGGAAUUCCCGGUGUAGCGGUGAAAUGCGUAGAGAUCGGGAGGAACAUCAGUGGCGAAGGCGGCCCUCUGGACCAGCACUGACGCUGAGGCACGAAAGCGUGGGGAGCAAACAGGAUUAGAUACCCCAGUAGUC
Molecule: ribosomal RNA, 466 nt
Filed under: uncultured Lysobacteraceae bacterium
Lineage: Bacteria; Pseudomonadati; Pseudomonadota; Gammaproteobacteria; Lysobacterales; Lysobacteraceae
Description: bacterial SSU rRNA
Rfam family: Bacterial small subunit ribosomal RNA
Source: RNAcentral